AGCUCCAAUAGCGUAUAUUAAAGUUGUUGCAGUUAAAAAGCUCGUAGUUGGAUUUCUGGCAGGAGCGACCGGUCCGCCGCAAGGUGUGCACUAGGUCGUCUCCAGUCAUCUUUGUGGGAACUGCUCUGGCAUUAGGUUGUCGGGGUUAGGGAACACAUCGUUUACUGUGAAAAAAUUAGAGUGUUUAAAGCAGGCUUAUGCCGUUGAAUACAUUAGCAUGGAAUAAUAAGAUAGGACUUUGGUGGUCUAUUUUGUUGGUUUGCACACCAAGGUAAUGAUUAAUAGGGAUAGUUGGGGGUAUUCGUAUUUAAUUGUCAGAGGUGAAAUUCUUGGAUUUAUGAAAGACGAACUACUGCGAAAGCAUUUACCAAAGAUGUUUUCAUUAAUCAAGAACGAAAGU
This 400-nucleotide ribosomal RNA is filed under the name phytoplankton environmental sample. Its description in RNAcentral is "partial small subunit ribosomal RNA". It matches the Rfam family "Eukaryotic small subunit ribosomal RNA", at positions 587 to 990 of the family's 1831-position model. The record is from RNAcentral.